Molecule: ribosomal RNA, 1123 nt
Filed under: uncultured bacterium
Lineage: Bacteria
Description: bacterial SSU rRNA
Rfam family: Bacterial small subunit ribosomal RNA
Source: RNAcentral
CGGGGUAACGGCCCACCAAGGCGACGAUCAGUAGGGGUUCUGAGAGGAAGAUCCCCCACAUUGGGACUGAGACACGGACCAGACUCCUACGGGAGGCAGCAGUGGGGAAUAUUGCACAAUGGAGGAAACUCUGAUGCAGCGACGCCGCGUGAGUGAAGAAGUAGUUCGCUAUGUAAAGCUCUAUCAGCAGGGAAGAUAAUGACGGUACUCAACAAGGAAGUGACGGCUAACUACGUGCCAGCAGCCGCGGUAAAACGUAGGUCACAAGCGUUGUCCGGAAUUACUGGGUGUAAAGGGAGCGCAGGCGGGAAGACAAGUUGGAAGUGAAAUCUAUGGGCUCAACCCAUAAACUGCUUUCAAAACUGUUUUUCUUGAGUAGUGCAGAGGUAGGCGGAAUUCCCGGUGUAGCGGUGGAAUGCGUAGAUAUCGGGAGGAACACCAGUGGCGAAGGCGGCCUACUGGGCACCAACUGACGCUGAGGCUCGAAAGUGUGGGUAGCAAACAGGAUUAGAUACCCUGGUAGUCCACACCGUAAACGAUGAUUACUAGGUGUUGGAGGAUUUGACCCCCUUCAGUGCCGCAGUUAACACAAUAAGUAAUCCACCUGGGGAGUACGACCGCAAGGUUGAAACUCAAAGGAAUUGACGGGGGCCCGCACAAGCAGUGGAGUAUGUGGUUUAAUUCGACGCAACGCGAAGAACCUUACCAAGUCUUGACAUCCCUUGACGAACAUAGAAAUAUGUUUUCUCUUCGGAGCAAGGAGACAGGUGGUGCAUGGUUGUCGUCAGCUCGUGUCGUGAGAUGUUGGGUUAAGUCCCGCAACGAGCGCAACCCUUACUGUCAGUUACUACGCAAGAGGACUCUGGCAGGACUGCCGUUGACAAAACGGAGGAAGGUGGGGAUGACGUCAAAUCAUCAUGCCCUUUAUGACUUGGGCUACACACGUACUACAAUGGCGUUAAACAAAGAGAAGCAAGACCGCGAGGUGGAGCAAAACUCAGAAACAACGUCCCAGUUCGGACUGCAGGCUGCAACUCGCCUGCACGAAGUCGGAAUUGCUAGUAAUCGUGGAUCAGCAUGCCACGGUGAAUACGUUCCCGGGCCUUGCACUCACCGCCCGUCA